AUUCUCUUGCAAGUUGAAUACACAGUAUUUAGUAUUAACAAAAGGGAACCGCUUUGGAGCGGUCGGUCUGCUAUUGACCCAUUAACAGCCUUCAAUUAAAUUUUGACACAUUACUUAUUUUACAUUAAGUCAAUAGAAUGCAUCACAUCAGAUUAUUCAUUUGAU
This is a long non-coding RNA of Juglans microcarpa x Juglans regia, 165 nucleotides long. RefSeq lists it as uncharacterized. The record is from RefSeq and is a predicted model, not a curated record. The transcript has 3 exons. NCBI's taxonomy places the organism in Eukaryota, Viridiplantae, Streptophyta, Magnoliopsida, Fagales, Juglandaceae.